AAAAAGACAAACACUAGAUUUUCGUGUCUAAUGUUUGACUGUCCGUUUUAUAUGAAAUUUUUUUGUAAUUAGUAUUUUCAUUGUUGUUAGAUGAUAAAACAUGAUUAAUACUUUAUGCGUGACUUGUCUUUUUAAUUUUUUUCAUAUUUUUUUCAAAUAAGACGGACGGUCAAACGUUAGACACGGAAACCCAAGGUUUGUCUUUUU
Molecule: microRNA precursor, 207 nt
Filed under: Oryza barthii
Lineage: Eukaryota; Viridiplantae; Streptophyta; Magnoliopsida; Poales; Poaceae
Description: MIR812 microRNA precursor family
Rfam family: MIR812 microRNA precursor family
Source: Rfam by way of RNAcentral